RNAcentral lists this transfer RNA (67 nucleotides) under pig gut metagenome. It matches the Rfam family "tRNA". Rfam says of the family: Transfer RNA (tRNA) molecules are approximately 80 nucleotides in length. Their secondary structure includes four short double-helical elements and three loops (D, anti-codon, and T loops). The record is from RNAcentral.
GGUGUAGUUCAGUUGGUUAGAGCGUCAGAUUGUGGUCCUGAAUGUCGUGGGUUCAAGUCCCACUACC